RNAcentral lists this ribosomal RNA (511 nucleotides) under uncultured bacterium. RNAcentral's name for it is "bacterial SSU rRNA". It matches the Rfam family "Bacterial small subunit ribosomal RNA", at positions 8 to 524 of the family's 1533-position model. The record is from RNAcentral.
AGAGUUUGAUCAUGGCUCAGGAUGAACGCUGGCGGCGUGCCUAAUACAUGCAAGUCGAACGCGAAAGGUCUGAAGCCUUCGGGCGGAGGGCCGAGUAGAGUGGCGAACGGGUGAGGAACACGUAGGUGACCUGCCCCGGAGAGGGGGAUAACCGUCGGAAACGGCGGCUAAUACCCCAUAAGCUCACGCGAGUUAGAGGGCGUGUGAGAAAAGCUCCGGCGCUCCGGGAGGGGCCUGCGGCCCAUCAGCUAGUUGGUAGGGUAAAGGCCUACCAAGGCGAAGACGGGUAGGGGGCCUGAGAGGGUGGUCCCCCACGUGGGAACUGAGACACGGUCCCAACUCCUACGGGAGGCAGCAGUAAGGAAUAUUGCACAAUGGGCGCAAGCCUGAUGCAGCAACGCCGCGUGCCCGAGGACGGCCUUCGGGUUGUAAAGGGCUUUUCUGGCUGAAGAGGAAGGACGGUAGGCCAGGAAUAAGCGUCGGCUAACUACGUGCCAGCAGCCGCGGUAAU